GCAGUAGCUCAGUUGUAAAGCAUUUGAUCUGCAUGCAGAAAUUCCCAGGUUCAAGUCCUGGCAUCUCCA
This is a non-coding RNA of Podarcis lilfordi (Lilford's wall lizard), 69 nucleotides long. NCBI's taxonomy places the organism in Eukaryota, Metazoa, Chordata, Lepidosauria, Squamata, Lacertidae. The record is from the annotation of a GenBank genome assembly.